RNAcentral lists this unclassified non-coding RNA (240 nucleotides) under soil metagenome. Its description in RNAcentral is "partial contains 5.8S ribosomal RNA, internal transcribed spacer 2, and large subunit ribosomal RNA". The record is from RNAcentral.
AACGGUCUAUACCUGCGGUACCUGCGGAAGGAUCAUUAUAGAGUGGUAAACCUCCCGUAAAAGGGGGGGACCUCCUGUCCUUUGUAGGCUCUUUUUUAAAAGGGCUUUUUUUAAUUUUCUGCUUCGGUGGGGUUAUCCCACCGGAACAACCUCAAAACUCUCAUCACAAAAUCGUUCUGUCUGAGAACCUUUUAUAAUAAAAAAAAACUUUUAGCAAUGGAUCUCUAGAUCGGAAGAGCA